RNA transcript from Bombus terrestris (buff-tailed bumblebee), 14322 nucleotides. RefSeq lists it as uncharacterized. NCBI's taxonomy places the organism in Eukaryota, Metazoa, Arthropoda, Insecta, Hymenoptera, Apidae. The transcript is spliced from 14 exons. The record is from RefSeq and is a predicted model, not a curated record.
AUGUGCAUAUGUGUGCGUGCGCGCGCGCACAUAUGAACGAAUCGCAAGGAAUAAAAAAUAAUAUCAGCUGUUUCUGCAUUUUCCAGUUUUUGAUACGAGAUCGUCGAGCAAUACGUUUUCGGGACAACGAUGGAUCGUGCAACGAGAAUCGCGUGGAUCAUUUAAGGUCGGGGGCGAUCAAUGCCCGAUGGCGUGGACUGGAACGCAACGCUGGAGAAAUCCUGCUCCAGAGUGACGAUGUGCAACGAUCGAUCGAGCUGCUGGACAAAGUGCUCUCAGAGUACGACGAGCACGAAGCAGAGGGCGAAGGUGGUGGAGGCGUCGGCGUCGGCAGUGGCGGCGGCGGUGGCGGUGGCGGUGGCGGCGACGGUAGUGGAGGUGGCAGCGGCGGAGGUGUUGGGGAUUGUGGCAGCAGCACCGAACCGAGUAUUGGCCUCACACCCGACGACGAAAGUCCGUCCUUAGGGCAUCAAUCCGAGGACGACGGUUACAUGAGUAUGAAUGGACGAAAAGCGAAGAUGGCCCUGAUAGCGCUGCGUCCAGUUCCAGAUUGUCCAGAGCCACAGGAUCUCGCGGGAAUAUCUACGCAAGAAUUUCCGCCACCGCCGGAAGAAGCCGAACGAAUCAUUUCUACUUUGUUGCCCAUGGUAUCGCCUGGAAAUUCUUCGAAGAGAAACCAAGGUCACUCCUCUUCUCGUCGAAGUGGUCGCCAACAGUGGAUGAUAGCCAUGGAGGACAGCAUACGACAUGGAAACGGUAGCACGGUUACCACUCAAACGACUCUCCCCAAAACUCGACAUCAAAGACCGUAUGGCUGGGAAAAUGGGAACAGCGAAGCAUUGAAAUUGGCUCAACCUCCGAGCCCGCCGAGCAAAUUCGCCAGCUUACCAUACGAUGGUAAGGUGUCUUUCGGUUGGAUCCCGCCACGAACCAAUCCAACUACUAUCGAGAAACAUCGCGAGGUUAGACGUCGAUCAUCGGAAGAAGAUGGCCUCGAGGCGGACAAAACUCAUCGACAGAGCUUCGACAAGGAUCGAACGCCUCAUCUACGAAAGCAACGUCAGAGUAACGAAAUCAUCAAGUCGAGCAGCGUGGAGGAUCGUCUGCUGAUGAAUCACGAGCAAUCCGAGCAGAACAGCCGAAGAAGAAACGAUUCUGACUCGAGCGAAGGCAGAUUCUCGAGAAACUCCGAAUCAGAGAGAUCUUCUAUCCCACGGUCGAGCUCGGUCAGCGUCGAAAGAUAUUCGAUGCGAGCCACUUGCGGAUCAUCCGACUUUUCCAGGGCGAACUCCACCUCGAACGAAAGAUUCCACUCAGAUUUUUCGAUAGCCGUGGCCAGUGCCAGUUCCAACGAUCGAGUCUCCGUGCCAACGUCCGAUCCUUUCUCCAUUCGAAACCUCGACUUUGUUUCCUUCUCUUUGCCGACCAGAACAGACUCCAAUGAAAGAUUCUCGGCACCAACCUCGGACAGGUGUUCGGAGGAACGUUACUCGGACAUGUUCUCCACGAGGAAUUCGGACUUCUCCACGAGGAAUUCCACAGACUUUAGGACUCAAUCUGAGGAGGAAAGAUUUUCUGACGACUCGUUGGAGGAGCUUCUGCCUCCUCCCCCGCCCAUCAGUAAGAGACAUUCUAUUGCUUGGGAAGUACCUCUGGAGGAUGAUCCACUUUAUGCUCCCGGAAGUACCAAGGUGAUUGGUAGGAGACGACGUAAAAGCAGCGACGUGUCCAGCGUCGGAUCAGCGUCCAAACUACGCGACUUCGACGACUGGCAAGACCCCCGGUUAUCGACCACUGACGAUGAUCUAGUCUCUCCGUAUUCGGACUCCUCGACGAACGAGCUUGAUCAGAUACGACCCCAAGAACUAACCAAGAACGGCACUUACGUGAUACGUCGUGGUCGAAAGAAAGAACGAAAAAGUUUACCAAAAGUCCCGACCAAAACCAAAAGCUUAUCGUUUGAGAAUAACGAGGAGAAUCGGUUGUCUGAUGUGAAACGAUACUCGAGUACUUUCGAUAAUAUUAGAAGUCUGCUGAGAGAAAAUAAACUGGACGAACCGAUGAACGAUCCACCGAUGGAAUUUCCACCGUCGGUUCCACCCGACCUGGUCAGAGUCGUUUCUCUUCCAGCGAUUAACGACGAAACCAGCAAUUGGCCGCGAGAAUUGGAAGUAACUGUCGAAGAGGAAGAAAGUUCAGACCUUUCAGACAAGGAUAAAAAACCUCGGGAGAUGUUCGAGCUGCUCCAGUUGUCGUCCUCGUUAUCGUCCACCGAUAAUCCUGAGAAAGGCAGAAUCGAUGUCGAUUUGUCGAAUCAAGAGUCGAGAAACGCUACUACAGAGUUGAACAGCACGUGCAACGGAGUUUCGCUAUCAGCCUCUAACAGCUAUUCGAAAGGGUUCGCUGGUUUAACACCGUCUAGUGGGAAUGUGUUUAACGAGGAACCAAGAAAAUCUCCAAAUUCUAGUAACGAACAUCGAUUAACGUCCAAGAUCCCUGUUAACUUGCUGAUUGAAGAUCAGAUUGUGAAAAAGGCUUUGAAGGAAAAUCGUAGACAACUGGAGAAGGUCAGUGAUGCUAUCAAGGAAAUUGAGAAUGUGAAGAACAGCGAGUCUUAUUCGGAGAGCAAGACACGAUGGGCAAGGAGUGGAGAAGCGAAGCAACCAUUGGCGAGGAAAAGCAGUCUUGACAGCGAAUCGAAUGAUCGUGGAGUUGUGGAUCGAAGUGGAGCGAGGAAACAGCACCAUGAUUCGGAUUUUGAUUCGGAUACAGCGUCUAAAACCAGUCCUGAAACAACGGAUAUAGAGGCAAAAAGAACUAAUGGGUCGGAUAUCUACGCGUCAGGGAAAAGAUUGAGACAAAAUGGAGUUGUUGAGACUCAUAAGAAUGAUCAGAAGCAGAUUGAAAAUGUAAUCGACGCUAUUCUUGAAGAUUCCAAGAAUCCAGAUUUUCAGGUGAGCGUAGAAGUUCUUGAGUUUCCUCCGUUACCACCAUCGCCUGUCGAGGAAGCGGACGAAGAAAGUUCAGACAUCGGUCAGACUGCCGCAAUCGUCUCUAAGCCAAAAAAUCAUAGCAAUCGAACGAUGGAGUACAGACCUAGGGUACCACCUCAUCGUGGACCUGCUGCUAAUCAUUCCCUCUCGGAUUCGAAAGAUCAACAAACGUCUCUCAAUACCAGAUCCAUGGAUGCUGGAUUUUCUCGGGGUAAAAGAACAACACCUAGUGCCACCAAUUCCAGACGAGAGCAAAUACCCGUAGAACGAAGGACUUUGCCUACGGACCUACCUGGACCUUCACGACGACGUCCCUUCACCAAGAGACAUUCGCCGUCGGCGGAACCGUGCUCCUCAGUUGGAAAUGGAGGCUGUAGUAGCAGUACUAACGCAAACGGAGCAAACAACGGAGCUUGUAGCAGUAGCAGUGGUGGAACCACCGGUAACAUAGCGACUGGUACCAGCGGAAUGCAAACUUCUUGUUCGCUUCCAGAAACCCCUGUUUUCGCUAGAGGGAGCGACAUUCCCAGAACUCCCCAGCAUGCCAGCAAUUCGACACAGAUGCGUCGACAACCUGGUUGGUACGCACCAACCACGGCUACCACCGGGUAUCGCAGGAAUAACCCGGGUCUGGAACAGGCGAUAAUCGGAACCGAGUUGUUGCGAUUAGCCGGUGGCCCGAAUCGUGGAUGGUACCCGACGAGAAAGGCGAACCAACCGCGGCCAGCCUCGAUCGAGCAUCUCGAAAGACUAAACAACGCGUACGAUCCACGCUUGGCUGGCUCCGGAGACCAAAGGAAACCAUUGACUCUGCCGACAAACAUCACACCGAACAAAUACUUCGGCCAAAGUAAGCACAGCUCCGCCUCCAGCACUCGCGAGGCGCUACGGAGGGUCACUAGCUUGCUCAUCAAGAAAGGAAGCGGCAGCAAGGAUGGCAAAAGUGGAAAGGACAAUGCAUCACCGUGUGGCCCAUACGCAGUUGGAAAUGUUGGGAAAGCUACGACUAAUCCAAAUCCAGUGAAAGUUCUCUAGGAUGAACAUCCGUAGCACUGACAUAAGUAAUGAAAAAAAGACCCCUUCUCUCGGUGUAUCGCUCCCCGAGGGAUCUGCUUGGAAGACUUAAAGCUGUAAGCUAAAAAACCUUUUAUAAAUAGAGUUUCGUUACUUUUUAAACAGACCAUGCACGAAUAGCGCGGUAAAUUAUGUUCCAAUGCAAAUUAUGUUUCGUGUUAAAGAAUAUCCAAGCCGCUGGUCCAACAAUAAAAUACGAUAAUGAACCGAAUAAAGUUCAUCGUCAUAAAAUAUGUAAAGUAUGUAUGUAAAUACAGUUCAAAAAGUGCAGCAAAGUCGAUCCACGAUUUAUAAUAAAAUGAGAGACGGAGAAACGGAGAAAAAGAGAGACAGGGAGAGACUAACAAUGAGUGGAAUAGCUAAUUGAAAACGAGGCGAUAAAAUAAUAAAAUCACUAUUAAAUCAUGGUGAUAAGAACACCGUUAUGAUGGAAUAUUAUUGUGCAAUAGUGAGAUUAAUAAUUUGACUCGUAUUUUUCCGAUCUGUGUAAUUGUUCGAAUUUCAAUAGUUUUUCUUCGCAUAUAAUUAAGAGGACGAAUUGUUGGUCCAAGUUUGGUGCCCUUCCUGUACCAUACGAUACGAUUCGGUCAUAUUCUAUGCCACACGGAUACUUAUCCUUGUAAGUACUUGUUUGUAAGUUUUUUAUUUUAUCGCUGGUAGAGGGGGAACGUGGCUGUGUGUGUGCACACGCAUACAUCUUUGCACACGUAACAUAACCGGUACACACAUGGCAUUCCAAAAUAUCCAUUCCCUUUCCACCAGCAGUUUACCAAUGUCCGCCUCUAGUCUGAACAGCCAACAGCAGUUCUAUUAAUAUUCUUUGGUUAUUUUUGAAAAAGCUCUUCUUACCAAGAGAAACAGAACGAAGGAUAGAGAAGAACUUUAUGUACAAGCCAAACAACGUUUCCUUCAAUUUGUCUGUAAAGGUGCGUCUAGAGCGAGCUGAAUAAAAUUCAAGCAUAAACGAAACAUGUAAAUUCUAUCGGUAUUUGACGAUUGCUGGCCUCUAAGAACGCCGGAAGAAUAUUCGUCUGAUCGUUGUGAAUCGAUCAACGAACAAAUUGCUCGACGAACGUUUACGCUAAACGAGUGUAGGCGAGUGCUGCUCCUGCUCUCUCUAUGUUCUAUGGUCGUUUCGUCUAAUCUUAACACUCUACACAAAGAGCUCGAGAAGUAUCUUCAUUGCCACGACAUGAUUUCUCGCCAGUAACAAGCAACAUUGCUGUCAAGUUCGGAUAGUUUGGCUAGUCAAGUAACAGAGAUCAGACACACCCAACAAUUUGCGUGUACUACGUGCGCUACGUAGCUGCACACUAUCGGUAUUGAUCCAUACGCACCGUUCUCUCGUUCUCGCUCGCUUUAUCCCUUUUCUCCAGCUCCUGGCAUCGCAGAGAUGUGGCCUUCUUCUCACGAUUUCUUAUCAACAACGAAUACAGAGAUAGCGGCAUGUAUGAAUAUUAACGCGGCUAACUGUAUUCGUGAAGCGACCAGGAUACCGGCACCAGAGUUGAGAACUUGCACCGAUAUGAUGGUAACCAGGAGAACUUUAAACAUAACAGAGAGAUAUAACAGAAGGAUAGAAUCGUUUCGUACGGAUACAAUGGAGUUUGUAUUUUCCGAAUAUGAUAUAUUCUCGAGCGAGUUGGAACACAUCGAGAAAUGGAGGAAGAGUAUCCGCCGUCGCGACGGUCGUAGCUGGUUUUUAACGUCCGUCGAUUCGAAGGAAAGGCCGGAAAGGCCGUCGAUUAUUAUGCAGGCGACAGACAAUUGCCAACGCUUCCCCUAUUAACAUAUAGCGAGAGUAAAAACGUGGCUGAAAUACACGACGCAGUUGGUGCGUCGCUCCAGUACCAGCUUUGCUUGUACACUCAGAUUUUAAUAAUCCAAUGAGAUAAACAAGUAUACGCACUAUACUAUAUAACACAUGAUGACAGAAAAUUCAAUUACAAAGCGAGCAAUUUUUAUCGGUAAAGAAAUGCGGAUGAUUUGGAUGGGUAUCGAAGUAGCAUCUGCCGAAUGCGGGGACGCGCCGAAGAAGAAAGGGUUCUUCAAAGGUUUCUGGAAGAGGUCGCGUCAUUAUUCGCUGGAGAACCAAUAGCCCAGGUUAGGCGGUAGGGUGACGGACCAGCAACGACAGAGACAGGCGCCAAGGCAACAGCACCAUUAUCGACACCACGUCGCUACGAGCGCUUUGACACACAGUGCUUGCUGUUGCAUCGUCCAGUAACCUCGGUGCUGCUUCGUGGUAGAUGCAGCGACAAGGUUCGCGUUCCUUCGUCCAUUUCAUCGAGCUUUUAUUCCGCCCGAUCGGUGGUCUCCGAGUCCAACAAGCUGCGUCAGCCCGUGGGUAAAAUCUUUUUGCGUAUUAAUUACGUUUCUCUGUCCCUCCUUGUUUCUUUUUUCUUAAACACUCUCUGGCUAUUCGGCUAAAAGAUUUUCUUUCCAUUCCUUCCGUUUAUCGUUACAUCUGGUCGUAUGCGGUAAUUAGGCUGUUUCGUAAAUUAUGCUACGAACAGCAAAGGGCGGGUUCUAUACGGAAAAUAAGCCGAAAAUGUAGAAUAAUGUAUUUUGAUUUAAAGCCUUGUUUGUCUAUUCUGCUUGACGCAAUGCGAUAAAUAUAAAUCCAAGUAGGAGUAUUAGUAUGCAGCGAGAUCCUUCAAGUCGAAACAUAGACAACCUUGCAGAGCUCCUCGUAUUUUUAAUGCGUCUGUCUUUAAUUUCAACGGCAAAGAAACGCUUUUAAACUGUUUCAAGACAAUCUGUAGCUUCAUAGAAUCGAGCAAGAAGAAAUUAAUUGGAUGGAGGAUUAGCCAAAAUGUGUGUUAGAAUUAAGGCCGCAUGCGUAAUAAAUAUAUUUUAAUUAAUUAAACUCAAAUUCUCCAAAGAUCGAAUAAAUAGAGCUUGUGAAGAACAAAAGAAUGGUGUAUUCUACGUUUUCAACUUAUUUUGUCGCAUAGAAUCGUCACUUGCUUGUUGGUCUUGCCUGUCUCGAAGUCGAGGUUGUACCAUCAAUUACAAGAUAACCUGCAAAUGAGAUUACGCUACGUUACGUUUUCGUUACCACACUAAAUCGUUUCGUUCCUCCCGCACAGCUCGUUUGCUCGUGCGAGCGCGUUGCUCGAAAGCGCGAAGCGGAAUAGAAGCAACGAGGCAAAGUGCUGCGCGAAUCGUGUCGAUUUCGUCACCAGCUGGCGUUGUUCGAAUCAUUCGAGCGAGUCAUGAAUCGAUUUUUGCUAAAUCGAAUCUAAAUCGAAUUUAAGUCGUGUAAACAACAUGAAGUACGCGAUAUAAAAAAGGAUUCGAGCAACGACACAGCGGCAGCAGUUGAUCCGUUGACUCGUUCGUUUACUCUAUUUAUUUCUAUUUCCUGAAACGCAUAGAAGAAGAAAACUGACACGACACCACUAUAUAGCAAGAUUUUUCAAAUGGUAAGAUGGUUCGAGUUUGCUCGCAAGACGUGUAUACGUGCUGAGUUUCGCGUCACGAGCAGCUAAACGUUCAAUAGUUUUUCCAUUCGAGAGGUAAAUCGCAAGCUCUGUACGGCUUAACCUAAUUGUUAGAUGGAUUUCGAUUAAACGGAACUUUUACUUUACAGAGGUAACAGCACCGAUUAAGUCUUACGACUUAUUAUUAAUGUCAUCGGGGGUGGAAGGUUAGAUCAGAGUCGAUUGGAAUGGGCAACUGCUUGAUUAGUAAAUGCCAAAAAGUACACGGUAGUCGACUUUCUGAUUGACGGACUCGAUCGAUAAUCGACGAUCAUUGCGAUUGAUCGACGACCGAUCGACGAGUUGCGACCGAUCGCGUGCAUCGGAACACCAUAGGCGUUUCUGUCCCAUCAUCUUCCUUGUGUGUAUCCGACACGCCAGCGCGUUUAUAGAAGGCGAGCAAAUAAACUAUAAGUUAUCAAGUAUUCGAGUACUCGGUUAUCUACAUACGUGUACUUUAGACGGCGUUUAUUACUCGCGUAUUAUGGCAGAGGCAAUAGAGAGAAAGAAGAGAGCGUAGAAAAACGCACGGAGGGACGAAUGCGUGCGGAAUCAUGACCAUGUAAAAAGCAAUCACAUUGUAUUUACUAUACGUAUUUAUUGUUAUUCGAGCAAUUUGUAAUUAUACCAACGAAACGUUCCCUCUAGUUUCAACGUUACCAUAUAAAUAACUAUUUUUAUUACGGCAAUUCAUUACCUGUAUCAUCAUCAUCGUCAUCAUCAUCAUCAUCACCACCAUUGUUAUCAUCCUCGUCGUUAUUUAUUUCUCAUUUUUGUUGUUAAGUUGGUACGUAUGAAAUAUGCCACCCCGCCAAGUAAGAUUUCAAUCGAUAUAUUUAUAUCGAUUGAAUGCUCUGUUUUAAUGAUUAAUUAAUAUCAUUAUUCCAAGUUUAUGAGAAUUAUCGGUUGAAAAAUUCAGAUCAAUUUCUUCGGCUAUAGCUUCUCUUUUUCAGUAAUUUACGCAUUGGAAGAUUGCAAAAUGGGAUAAAAAGUUGUGUUUAACUUUACCAAAUACUAAAUGUUCAUUUUCAGCAACUUUCAUGCCACUUCUAUUUUUAAUUUAAGCCCAUAAAGGUUACAAACUUUCUGGCUAUCUAGAAGUAAUAAUAAACUUUCGGUAUAUUUGUUAUAAAUUUUCUUACAUGAAGACUUACGGUAAACAUACAUGAUUUAUGGAAAAUUUUAUAAUAUGUUUGAUAAUUGACAAUAGAUCAAAAUUAAAUGGAUGGUAUUAGAGCACCAAAUUUGAAUUUGAAGAAACAUUUCAUACGCACCAACUUAAUACACAUAAUUAGUACCAAUAACCAGUCUCGCCUCCACAAUCGUUGCCACUGUGUUUAUUUAUAUCUUUUCCUCCUUUAUUAUCAUAAUUUUUCCCUUUUAGUCGCCUUUCACGGCACGCAGGGAUUGCAUAUCUGGGCCUAUCGAGUUCCUGGACCUAAAAGGACUUACUAUUGUAAUAUUAAUAUUAUUAUUGCUAUUUAUUUGAAUUAUUAUCGUAGGGUUGUUGUUACGAUCAUUGUUAUUACCAUUGUUAAUCCUGAAACGCUAUCACCAAAAUGAUAAUGCUUAUGCAGAGAACGUUGAAACACGCAAGUGAAACGCCAGAGACGAUAAAUGCGUUAUCGUUACGGAACGGUAACCAAUGUUAUCUAGAACUAGCGGUUGAAUUACUUACUUACUUGCUUACUUACACAAUUACUAUUAUCGAUAAUCCUCUAUUUGUAUGAUAUAUAGAAGGCGGAUUAAGAUUAUAUAGCCAGUAAUGUAACAAAAUGGUCACGAUAAUAACGAUAACUAUCGCGAAAAUUACAUCUAGUAGAGAAUUGGAAAAUUCGAUAUAGGAUGUAGCAGACGACAUUCUCCUCUCGAAUUAUCGACAAAGUCGAUUCCAAUCGGAAAAUUGCUUGAAUGCCAAAGAUUGCCUUCGCAAUAUAUCGUCAACUCGGCCAACGCAUACAAACCUAUAGAAAAUCACAUUUCUUGGUAUUCGUUCGACUUUCAUUUUACUUCGAUUCUUUAUACAAUUUUGUACGAACCCCUAAGUGCAAAUUUUAGUCGAUCAAUCGAACGAACAAUCGUUUCCCUUUCUCUUUCAUUUCCUAAUUCCUUUUCCUUUUCUCGUUUCAAGCGUCAACCAAACGCAACAACGUGAAUUUCUCCAUCGUGGUCGUGGUCAUGAUCGUUGUCGUCGUCGUCGUCUUUCGAAAUACGCGGAAACAGAAUUUCCCUAUGAAUCAUGUUCAUCGUGGAAACAUGUUUGCACGUCAUUUCACUUUGCAGGUUAUUUAAAACGUAUUUUAAAUAAUCGUAUCGUUCGCGGCUUGUUCGAUAUAUCGAAUACAGUGGAAGUCGUUGGAACGAUUACGAGGGCGAUAACACGAGCACGUGACUUAAAAGGACGCUGGAAUUUCAAGGAAGAGGAAAGAAGAAAUAAGACAGAAGAAAACGAAAGAAAGAAAGAAAAUUGGCAAAUGUCGCUCGGCCGCAACAUAGGUUAUGAUACUGCUUUUUUUCUCCCUGCGUGAUAUAUUUAUUUAUUUUAACGCGGUUUUAUUACACACUCUAUGUAUAGUGGCACUUGUAAAUAACGAUCGCGAAUCAUAAGGAUACGUGACAAAGGAACGUAAGAAGAGAGCAACUGUUCCGCGAUCUUUUCGCCGCGAAAAGAUCGAGCUAGGACUGUGAGAACGAUGGGCAUUCGAGAUACGCAUCGGCCGCGUGCUAGUUGUUGCUACCGCUGCUGUUGCUGCUAUUGCUGUUACCGUUGCUACUGUUACUAAGUACUACAGUUACAAAACCCGAGGGCACGCUGGCCGCUUUGUCGCACAUUCGUUGACAUGCAUGCACACCUAUCUAAUAAGAUAACUUAAAAGGUAAUCUAAUAAAGGUUAAUGCUACUUAAACUUAAUGCCAUUUAAACGAACGUUUGUAAAGCAAUCUUCGUCCCAGCGUUGCGCGGUAUGCUAUAUCUCAUUUCACGUACACGCGUGUACGUGUUCAAUCACUUUUUUCAACGGUGUCUUCUGUUCUCUUCGUCAUCUUCCAUCAUUUUCUUCUUUUUCGUCUUCUUCUUCUUCUUGUUUGCUUCUGCCCCUGUUCUCUCCCUUUCUCCCCCUUAUCUACGAUUUCAACAAAACAACCGUUGUUUCCCUCGAACGGAUAGUAUCGUGAAAUAAUCACCGCUAGCCGUGGAGACCCCAUUUGGAAAGAAGAGAAGCAUCGAAAUGCCUAAACUUUCUUGACAAAUAGCCAAGAACAGAUAGAACGAAGAACGAGGGGAAAGAUGGAUUUCUUCGGAAGAAAGUUUCGAAUGUUUCGAAACGAGUCGAAACGAGUCGAGGGAUUCAUUCGUGUUUCUCGUGUUAAAUAUGCGUUAAAUACGAAGGAAAAAUGUGCACGAUACUCGUGUAAUACAGAUCUUGAACAUUUUAAUCCCGGUAACAGGUGAGACAUUUCGAAAGCUAAGUAUCGAAAUGUUGUCAUCCGUAUUAACGUUUUUCACAUGUGUUCUGAACAUGAUUGUAUUCGAGAAAUUCCAAUACAUCACCGAUAGAAUAAGAGACGCACACUGUGCACGCUAAAGCCAAGUUACCGAAGUUGCCGGACAUGUAAUACGAUACGAUAUUCGUGUACGCCAUUAUCAAAUCCACUGUUGUUUAACUAGCCACGAUGUUAAGACCGGUUCGUUGGGCGCAUCGUUUCUUCUAGUCUUUGUCUCCCUGAAUGAAAACGAGCGUGUACAAGUUGGGAAAAAAAACGGGUCAAAAGCGGAAACAAACUCGGGUAAAUAAAAUGUGUAUGCUUCGCGUAGUUUUAACGAUUUGUAGAUUACACAGAGUAGAUGGACAAAGUCUGUGAAAGGACUAAAGCAAAUGAGGAGAACAUUUUAGUACAAAUUCGAUAGCUUUAUCGUUUCAUCGUUGGAAGAACAAGAAUUAAAGGUACUAAAAAAUGAAAAAAGACGAUAUGGCAAUAAAUGAGUAGCGCAAAUGCACGAACGCAGGAUUACGAAUGCACGAUUAGGAAAGUCAUUCGACGAAAUCAAGCGCUCGACGCCUCGGUACUAAUAUCGACGACAUUUCGUGAAUUACGAUCCAAGUCUUUCCUUCGAAUUCCGUAUAUACGUAACAUUUAACCGAGACCAUCCGUUCGUUUGUAUCUUAUAUAUAUAUAUAUAUAUUUAUGUAUAUAUAUAUAUAUAUAGAUAUAGAUAUAGAUAUAUCUAUAUAAUUGUUCUCUCCACCGCAAAAGGCUUGCGCCUCUCAUUCUGAUCUCUCUAGUCGUUAUUUAUGACAGAAAGAGAUUUGGAGAAUCAUCCAAUUAUUUACUCUGAGAUGCGAAUCGAAUAAAUUUCGCGAGAACGAUCUAAAAAUAGUAGGCUAUAAAGCGUUGAUUGAUAGAAAAUAUAAAAGUGUGGCGAUCCUGGUCGCUGUAAUUAGAAGUAAUGUUUUUUAAGAUGAAACAAAAUCAGUGCGAGUAAGCGAGAGCGAUUUUUAUGUAAAUUUUCUUGAUAAUUUUGUAAAAAGUUUUAUUUAAUCUUCUAAUCUACCAAUAAAUUAAAUAACGGUUUAUAAAUUAAGAUGAACCGAUAUUAUAUAUAUAUAUACACACACACAUAUGCAUGUACACGUAUACGAUAUGCAGGUUAUUCCAUUCUCCGAUUUUUUUGAAAUAAGAACGUUGAGUAAGAUAAACAACAUCAAAGGCUUCACGAGUUAGAACACCAAAAUAGAUAUUUUCUUCGAUACAUAGCUAUUUGUUUCCUGCUUUUUUUUCUCAAUAAAACCAACAAAAUACGGUUGAAGAACUGCGUAUUUGCAGGAAAUUAAUUUUAUUAAACAAAGAAAAAAAAGUAAGCAAAAUUUUAGUACUAUCGAGUACCAUGGUUCGAAAGUAAAAAUAACAUUGACUCUCUUGUAUGCUUGGUGGCUUUGAUGCCGUUUAUUCGAAUAAACGAUUUGUUUUUCACGAUUGAUUUACAGGAACCUCUUCCCUUUCACUUUAGCUCUUCAUCCAACUCCUUUAAAAAAAUCGGGAAAUAAUGAAACACGCAAUUUAUAUGCACUACAUGAGGAACCUCUAUUCCACGUACAGGUAAGUGUAAUUUCCCAAUAAUUUAUGUUAAAUAAUAUCAUUUUGAAACGAGAAUAAACGCGUCCAGAAACCGAGAACCGGAAGUUACAUACGCGUGAUUUAAUCUUAUUCAUGGUCGCGGAAGGACGCGGUUUUUAUCGUCUAUUUAUCACCGCGAGAUAUGCAGUUGUGAGGUAUAGAAUUCUACGAUAAUUUCUCUAUUUUGAACGUUAUUUGAAUGAAUGAAAACAAAAGGCGUUUCAUUACACCGCUUUAUACAAAUUUAUUGUUUCCUUAAACAUUAUUCGUGUGUCACGAUUCUAAAGAUUCUUGUCGACAUUUGCAAAAAAAUCUUAAGAGCAAGUAUAUCGGCUUUACAAAGUUAUAUACCUAAUUUUAACCAACCAAAUGUAGCCCUCUCUUUCUCUCUCUCGCUCUCAUGCGCACAAGCAUCCCAGCGCGCGCGUGCUCGACGCGCACGCAACACCCUCACUCAUCCCCCUAUCCCACCCGCUUUUGCUUUCUAUUUCUGCCUUUCUUGAACCAUAAACGUCGACCAUCUUCCGGUGUACAUAUUAUUUUUUCAAAAAGUCGAAAGUGGUUUUAUCGGCCGUUAAGUUCGAUCCAGUUUCGAUAAGACACGAAAAAUGUAGUAUGUAUGUAUAUAAUCGUCGCAUCGUUUGUCUCGAUAUAACGAGAACGAUUUUUCCAUAAAACGAAAGGAUCUCAAAAUAUAUAUUAUAUAUAUGUGUAUAUAUAUAUAUCCUUUUCCAAACAAAAAAGGAAAAGCUAAAAGCAUGAGGCGGAUGCGAAUAUUUCAACGACGCCUGGGAGUUACCUUUUUAUUACAAUUAUUACUUCAAUGUUUAUUCCUUAUUUUGUUAUCAAUAAAAAUCGUUACAUAGUAGUUUGGGUUGCUGCUUGACACCAGCCGAAUCGACAAGCAACCAGUUAUAAUAAUAAUAGUAGCAGUAAUAUUACAGUAAUAAUAAAUGAUAGCGGUAUUGUGUAUUAGAUGUGUGUGUAUGUGUGUGUAUGUGUACAUGCGCAUCUGUAUACGACUGCGGGAGUGUUCCUCUUGGUAUAACUUAUAGAAGACUGCGCUAGUCGAAUGAGAAACGUUUACACGGUCAAGGAGAACUACGUUGCUCUUCCGAGUAUGUUUUAAUAUAAAUCCAAAUUUUUACUUUCAUAGAUUUGAUUUCUUAUUAGACCCACGUAUCGAACGUAAGAGACUAUCUUCGAUUAUAAUCAGUUGUAUUAGAUAGGGAACACUGAUUACAUAAAAGAAAAAACUAAAACUAAGAUGUAAAUGAAUAAAUGAAGAUAUAAAAAUUAUAGAAAAUCGAAUUAUAUGUGUAUUCUUGUUCCGUGUAUAGUUCUACCUUUCAACUUUCGCAAUCGUGUUCGUGUUUUGUAUGCAUGCCACGCGCGCUUGAAAAUGUCAUAUUUAUAUAUUUAUAUUAUCUUGGUGUACAUCUUGCGACUCUUUUUCUCGUUCCAGUUCUCACCCCUAUCCCUCGCUUUCUUUCUCUCUCUCUCUUUCUCUCUCUCUCUCUCUCUCUCUCUGUAUUUCUUCCUCUUAUCGAUAAGUGACACAUCCCCCGAUUUGUUUUAUUCUUCUUACACAUAGCAAUAUUAAAGAGAGUAAAUAGUUAAAAGGGUUGUAUCGAUCUGGAUGGGGGAGGGAGAGG